CUGCAAACACUCCCAUUGUUCUGAGUUGGUAAUAAUCAGGGCAGGCUAAGCGUUUGCUAUAUUAAGACUAUGCACGUGUUGUCCCCAGACCUAGUUCUUUCCCAAGUCUGAUUUCAUAAAUGAUGGUGAUAAAC
Molecule: small nucleolar RNA, 134 nt
Filed under: Myotis davidii
Lineage: Eukaryota; Metazoa; Chordata; Mammalia; Chiroptera; Vespertilionidae
Description: Small nucleolar RNA SNORA72
Rfam family: Small nucleolar RNA SNORA72
About the family: U72 is a member of the H/ACA class of snoRNAs.
Source: Rfam by way of RNAcentral